GGUUCUGACUGAGAGUCACAGCCUCAGAGGCAACGUAAACAAGCGUUAUAUUUCUCUAUAAACGAUGGUGUCUGUACUGCCUUACCACUUCGAGCUCGAUCCAGAGAGUUCAGACGGCCGUUAUGAUAUAAAGGAUCUCCGUCAAUGAAUGCGAUUGGAUUUAACUUUUUUAGGUGUCCUUAGCUCUGCCAGAAUGCUAAACGAAGACGAAAAUGUGUUGCAAAAACAUCCAAAAGGUUUUAAGGAGAAUGCAACAGGUUCCAGGGCCUUUUACCUGCGUGAUUCAUCAUCCAGAUAUGCUUGGAGCUUC
Molecule: non-coding RNA, 310 nt
Organism: Misgurnus anguillicaudatus (oriental weatherfish)
Lineage: Eukaryota; Metazoa; Chordata; Actinopteri; Cypriniformes; Cobitidae
Source: RefSeq, a predicted model, not a curated record